AGCGGAGUGGCGCAGUGGAAGCGUGCUGGGCCCAUAACUCAACGCUCGAUGGAUCGAUACCAUUCUCUGCUA
This 72-nucleotide transfer RNA is filed under the name Nitrospinota bacterium. RNAcentral's name for it is "tRNA-Met". It matches the Rfam family "tRNA". Rfam says of the family: Transfer RNA (tRNA) molecules are approximately 80 nucleotides in length. Lineage: Bacteria; Pseudomonadati; Nitrospinota. The record is from RNAcentral.